AAGUCGUAACAAGGUUUCCGUAGGUGAACCUGCGGAAGGAUCAUUAUCCUUUAGCUUGUGCGAGUGUCACUUAUUGCACUUGUACUCACGAGCUCAUAAUGCUCUUAUUGCGCGGCAGCUGCAUUCUCUAUAGAGGCAGCUACCAAAAAAAUCCACGGUAGGCUCGUUGCUACUGUGGUCAGGUACCUAGAAGCGGCUGUGCUCUUUUACUGGAGCCAGUCGUGUUGGCGUAAAGAUUGCACUCACUCGUAGUGUGACGCCUGUCUAGCUUACAAGUUUUCUCACCAUUUAAAUUACAUUAUUUAGAGUUGUGACUGUGUCGAAUUCUAUGCUAAUCAUAGAUGAUUUAACACAUAAACAACCCUAUGCGGUGGAUCACUUGGCUC
RNAcentral lists this unclassified non-coding RNA (386 nucleotides) under fungal sp. RNAcentral's name for it is "partial internal transcribed spacer region". The stretch from base 1 to 46 matches the Rfam family "Eukaryotic small subunit ribosomal RNA", at positions 1786 to 1831 of the family's 1831-position model. Lineage: Eukaryota; Fungi. The record is from RNAcentral.